GAUGAACGCUGGCGGCGUGCCUAAUACAUGCAAGUCGAGCGAACAGACGAGGAGCUUGCUCCUCUGACGUUAGCGGCGGACGGGUGUAUAACGCGUGGAUCACCUCCCUAUAAGACUGGGAUAACUACGGGACACCGGAUCUAAUACCGGAGAAUAUCUUGAAGCGCAUGGGGGGAUAGUGAGAUACGGUGUUGCGGUCACUUCUAGAUGGAUCCGCGCCGCAUUAGCUAGUUGGUACGGUCACGGGUUAUCAAGGCAACGAUGCGUAGCCGAACUGAGAGAGUGAUAGGCCACACUGGAACUGGAACACGGUCCAGGCUCCUACGGGAGGCCGCAGAAGGGAAUCUGCGGCAAUGGGCGAAAGCCUGACGGAGCGACGGCGCGUGAGUGAUGAAGGUCUUCGGAGCGUAAAACUCUGUUAUUAGGGAAGAACAGAUGUGGAAGGAACUAUGCACGGCUUGACGGUAACUAAUCAGGAAGCAACGGCUAACUACGUG
Molecule: ribosomal RNA, 497 nt
Filed under: uncultured bacterium
Lineage: Bacteria
Description: partial 16S ribosomal RNA
Rfam family: Bacterial small subunit ribosomal RNA
Source: RNAcentral